RNAcentral lists this ribosomal RNA (386 nucleotides) under uncultured bacterium. RNAcentral's name for it is "bacterial SSU rRNA". It matches the Rfam family "Bacterial small subunit ribosomal RNA", at positions 28 to 417 of the family's 1533-position model. The record is from RNAcentral.
GAUGAACGCUAGCGGCAGGCUUAACACAUGCAAGUCGAGGGGUAUAGUUCUUCGGAAUUAGAGACCGGCGCACGGGUGCGUAACGCGUAUGCAAUCUACCUUUUACAGGGAAUAGCCCAGAGAAAUUUGGAUUAAUGCCCCAUAGUAUAGCAGUUUCGCAUGAAACUACUAUUAAAGUACCAACGGUAAAAGAUGAGCAUGCGUCCCAUUAGCUAGAUGGUAAGGUAACGGCUUACCAUGGCGACGAUGGGUAGGGGUCCUGAGAGGGAGAUCCCCCCACACUGGUACUGAGACACGGACCAGACUCCUACGGAGGCAGCAGUGAGGAAUAUUGGUCAAUGGACGCAAGUCUGAACCAGCCAAUGCCGCGUGCAGGAUGACGGUCC